UUGACAUCCGAUGCUAUUUCUAGAGAUAGAAAGUUACUUCGGUACAUCGGUGACAGGUGGUGCAUGGUUGUCGUCAGCUCGUGUCGUGAGAUGUUGAGUUAAGUCCCGCAACGAGCGCAACCCCUAUUGUUAGUUGCCAUCAUUCAGUUGGGCACUCUAGCGAGACUGCCGGUAAUAAACCGGAGGAAGGUGGGGAUGACGUCAAAUCAUCAUGCCCCUUAUGACCUGGGCUACACACGUGCUACAAUGGUUGGUACAACGAGUUGCGAGUCGGUGACGGCGAGCUAAUCUCUUAAAGCCAAUCUCAGUUCGGAUUGUAGGCUGCAACUCGCCUACAUGAAGUCGGAAUCGCUAGUAAUCGCGGAUCAGCACGCCGCGGUGAAUACGUUCCCGGGCCUU
RNAcentral lists this ribosomal RNA (399 nucleotides) under uncultured Streptococcus sp. Its description in RNAcentral is "bacterial SSU rRNA". It matches the Rfam family "Bacterial small subunit ribosomal RNA", at positions 981 to 1382 of the family's 1533-position model. The record is from RNAcentral. Lineage: Bacteria; Bacillati; Bacillota; Bacilli; Lactobacillales; Streptococcaceae.